RNAcentral lists this ribosomal RNA (173 nucleotides) under Chama macerophylla. RNAcentral's name for it is "5.8S ribosomal RNA". It matches the Rfam family "5.8S ribosomal RNA". Rfam says of the family: 5.8S ribosomal RNA (5.8S rRNA) is a component of the large subunit of the eukaryotic ribosome. It is transcribed by RNA polymerase I as part of the 45S precursor that also contains 18S and 28S rRNA. Lineage: Eukaryota; Metazoa; Mollusca; Bivalvia; Venerida; Chamidae. The record is from RNAcentral.
AUAGCUCUGUGCGGUGGAUCGCUCGGCUCGUGGGUCGAUGAAGAGCGCAGCCAGCUGCGUGAUGUAGUGCAAAAUGCAGGACACACAAACACUGAACAUCGACAUCUUGAACGCACAUUGCGGCCCGGGCUUCUCGGAGCCUGGGCCACGUCUGUUCGAGUGUCAGCUAAGUA